CCUACGGGAGGCAGCAGCUAAGAAUAUUCCGCAAUGGACGAAAGUCUGACGGAGCGACGCCGCGUGGAUGAUGAAGGCCGGAAGGUUGUAAAAUCCUUUUAUGACUGAGGAAUAAGGUGGAUGAGAGAAACGUCCAUUGGUGACUGUAGGUCAUGAAUAAGCAACGGCUAAUUACGUGCCAGCAGCCGCGGUAAU
This 195-nucleotide ribosomal RNA is filed under the name uncultured bacterium. RNAcentral's name for it is "partial 16S ribosomal RNA". It matches the Rfam family "Bacterial small subunit ribosomal RNA", at positions 338 to 524 of the family's 1533-position model. The record is from RNAcentral.